GCUGCAGUUAAAGCUCGUAGUUGGAUUUCGGGUGGGGCCUGCCGGUCCGCCGUUUCGGUGUGCACUGGCAGGGCCCACCUUGUUGCCGGGGACGGGCUCCUGGGCUUCACUGUCCGGGACUCGGAGUCGGCGCUGUUACUUUGAGUAAAUUAGAGUGUUCAAAGCAGGCCUACCCUCUGAAUACAUUAGCAUGGAAUAACACGAUAGGACUCUGGCCUAUCCUGUUGGUCUGUAGGACCGGAGUAAUGAUUAAAAGGGACAGUCGGGGGCAUUCGUAUUUCAUUGUCAGAGGUGAAAUUCUUGGUAGUUAUGAAAGACGAACUACUGCGAAAGCAUUUGCCAAGGAUGUUUUCAUUAAUCAAGAACCGAAAGUGUGAA
This 378-nucleotide ribosomal RNA is filed under the name Chlorella vulgaris. Its description in RNAcentral is "SSU rRNA". It matches the Rfam family "Eukaryotic small subunit ribosomal RNA", at positions 612 to 995 of the family's 1831-position model. Lineage: Eukaryota; Viridiplantae; Chlorophyta; Trebouxiophyceae; Chlorellales; Chlorellaceae. The record is from RNAcentral.